AGAAUCAACGCUGGCGGCGUGCCUAACACAUGCAAGUCGAACGAGAAAGUGGAGCAAUCCAUGAGUAAAGUGGCGCACGGGUGAGUAACACGUGACUAACCUACCCUUGAGUGGGGAAUAACUUCGGGAAACCGAGGCUAAUACCGCAUAACACCUACGGGUCAAAGGAGCAAUUCGCUUAAGGAGGGGGUCGCGGCAGAUUAGUUAGUUGGCGGGGUAAUGGCCCACCAAGACGGUGAUCUGUAUCCGGCCUGAGAGGGCGCACGGACACACUGGAACUGAAACACGGUCCAGACUCCUACGGGAGGCAGCAGUGGGGAAUUUGCGCAAUGGGGGAAACCCUGACGCAGCAACGCCGCGUGGAGGAUGAAGUCCCUUGGGACGUAAACUCCUUUCGAUCGGGACGAUUAUGACGGUACCGGAAGAAGAGCCCCGGCUAACUUCGCGCCAGCAGCCGC
RNAcentral lists this ribosomal RNA (458 nucleotides) under uncultured bacterium. Its description in RNAcentral is "SSU rRNA". It matches the Rfam family "Bacterial small subunit ribosomal RNA", at positions 26 to 518 of the family's 1533-position model. The record is from RNAcentral.